GACGAACGCUGGCGGCGUGCUUAACACAUGCAAGUCGAACGGAAAGGCCCUGCUUUUGUGGGGUGCUCGAGUGGCGAACGGGUGAGUAACACGUGAGUAACCUGCCCUUGACUUUGGGAUAACUUCAGGAAACUGGGGCUAAUACCGGAUAGGAGCUCCUGCUGCAUGGUGGGGGUUGGAAAGUUUCGGCGGUUGGGGAUGGACUCGCGGCUUAUCAGCUUGUUGGUGGGGUAGUGGCUUACCAAGGCUUUGACGGGUAGCCGGCCUGAGAGGGUGACCGGCCACAUUGGGACUGAGAUACGGCCCAGACUGCUACGGGAGGCAGCAGUGGGGAAUAUUGCACAAUGGGCGGAAGCCUGAUGCAGCAACGCCGCGUGCGGGAUGACGGGCUUCGGGUUGUAAACCGCUUUCGCCUGUGACGAAGCGUGAGUGACGGUAAUGGGUAAAGAAGCACCGGCUAACUACGUG
This 468-nucleotide ribosomal RNA is filed under the name uncultured bacterium. RNAcentral describes it as "partial 16S ribosomal RNA". It matches the Rfam family "Bacterial small subunit ribosomal RNA", at positions 28 to 507 of the family's 1533-position model. The record is from RNAcentral.